Molecule: unclassified non-coding RNA, 337 nt
Filed under: soil metagenome
Description: partial contains 5.8S ribosomal RNA, internal transcribed spacer 2, and large subunit ribosomal RNA
Rfam family: 5.8S ribosomal RNA (bases 1-120)
Source: RNAcentral
GAUGAAGAACGCAGCGAAAUGCGAUAAGUAGUGUGAAUUGCAGAAUUCAGUGAAUCAUCGAAUCUUUGAACGCACAUUGCGCCCCUUGGUAUUCCAUGGGGCAUGCCUGUUCGAGCGUCAUUUCAACCAUCAAGCCCCCGGGCUUGUGUUGGGGACCUGCGGCUGCCGCAGGCCCUGAAAAGCAGUGGCGGGCUCGCUGUCACACCGAGCGUAGUAGAUUUUAUCUCGCUCUGGGCGUGCUGCGGGUUCCGGCCGUUAAACCACCCUUUUAACCCAAGGUUGACCUCGGAUCAGGUAGGAAGACCCGCUGAACUUAAGCAUAUCAAUAAGCGGAGGA